GAUGAACGCUGGCGGCGUGCCUAAUACAUGCCAGUCGAGCGAACAGACGAGGAGCUUGCUCCUCUGACGUUAGCGGCGGACGGGUGAGUAACACGUGGAUAACCUACCUAUAAGACUGGGAUAACUUCGGGAAACCGGUGCUAAUACCGGAUAAUAUAUUGAACCGCAUGGUUCAAUAGUGAAAGACGGUUUUGCUGUCACUUAUAGAUGGAUCCGCGCCGCAUUAGCUAGUUGGUAAGGUAACGGCUUACCAAGGCAACGAUGCGUAGCCGACCUGAGAGGGUGAUCGGCCACACUGGAACUGAGACACGGUCCAGACUCCUACGGGAGGCAGCAGUAGGGAAUCUUCCGCAAUGGGCGAAAGCUUGACGGAGCAACGCCGCGUGAGUGAUGAAGGUCUUCGGAUCGUAAAACUCUGUUAUUAGGGAAGAACAAAUGUGUAAGUAACUAUGCACGUCUUGACGGUACCUAAUCAGAAAGCCACGGCUAACUACGUG
RNAcentral lists this ribosomal RNA (497 nucleotides) under uncultured bacterium. RNAcentral describes it as "partial 16S ribosomal RNA". It matches the Rfam family "Bacterial small subunit ribosomal RNA", at positions 28 to 507 of the family's 1533-position model. The record is from RNAcentral.